RNAcentral lists this ribosomal RNA (473 nucleotides) under uncultured delta proteobacterium. Its description in RNAcentral is "bacterial SSU rRNA". It matches the Rfam family "Bacterial small subunit ribosomal RNA", at positions 400 to 863 of the family's 1533-position model. Lineage: Bacteria; Deltaproteobacteria. The record is from RNAcentral.
CGUGAGUGAUGAAGGCUUUCGGGUCGUAAAGCUCUGUCAAGUGGGAAGAACCUGCAAUAUGCUAAUAUCAUAUUGCAUUGACGGUACCACUGAAGGAAGCACCGGCUAACUCCGUGCCAGCAGCCGCGGUAAUACGGGGGGUGCAAGCGUUAUUCGGAAUCAUUGGGCGUAAAGAGCACGUAGGCGGCUUGGUAAGUCAGAUGUGAAAGCCCGGGGCUUAACCCCGGAAGUGCAUUUGAUACUGCCAAGCUUGAGUAUGGGAGAGGGAAGUGGAAUUCCUGGUGUAGAGGUGAAAUUCGUAGAUAUCAGGAGGAACACCGGUGGCGAAGGCGACUUCCUGGACCAAUACUGACGCUGAGGUGCGAAGGCGUGGGUAGCAAACAGGAUUAGAUACCCUGGUAGUCCACGCAGUAAACGUUGUUCACUAGGUGUAGCGGGUAUUGACCCCUGCUGUGCCGCAGUUAACGCAUUAA